RNAcentral lists this ribosomal RNA (253 nucleotides) under uncultured bacterium. RNAcentral's name for it is "partial 16S ribosomal RNA". It matches the Rfam family "Bacterial small subunit ribosomal RNA", at positions 524 to 776 of the family's 1533-position model. The record is from RNAcentral.
UACGUAGGGACCAAGCGUUGUUCGGAUUUACUGGGCGUAAAGGGCGCGUAGGCGGCGUGACAAGUCACUUGUGAAAUCUCCGGGCUUAACUCGGAACGGUCAAGUGAUACUGUUGUGCUAGAGUACAGAAGGGGCAAUCGGAAUUCUUGGUGUAGCGGUGAAAUGCGCAGAUAUCAGGAGGAACACCGGUGGCGAAGGCGGGUCUCUGGGCCGAUACUGACGCUGAGGAGCGAAAGCGUGGGGAGCAAACAGG